ACUCCUACGGGAGGCAGCAGUGGGGAAUAUUGCACAAUGGGCGCAAGCCUGAUGCAGCCAUGCCGCGUGUGUGAAGAAGGCCUCGGUUGUAAAGCACUUUCAGUCGUGAGGAAGGUAGUGUAGUUAAUAGCUGCAUUAUUUGUACGUUAGCGACAGAAGAAGCACCGGCUAACUCCGUGCCAGCAGCCGCGGUAAUACGGAGGGGUGCGAGCGUUAAUCGGAAUUACUGGGCGUAAAGCGCAUGCAGGUGGUUUGUUAAGUCAGAUGUGAAAGCCCGGGGCUCAACCUCGGAAUUGCAUUUGAAACUGGCAGACUAGAGUACUGUAGAGGGGGUAGAAUUUCAGGUGUAGCGGUGAAAUGCGUAGAGAUCUGAAGGAAUACCGGUGGCGAAGGCGGCCCCCUGGACAGAUACUGACACUCAGAUGCGAAAGCGUGGGGAGCAAACAGGAUUAGAU
Molecule: ribosomal RNA, 455 nt
Filed under: uncultured bacterium
Lineage: Bacteria
Description: bacterial SSU rRNA
Rfam family: Bacterial small subunit ribosomal RNA
Source: RNAcentral